GUGGAUUAGUCUUGGUACUGCUGACAGAUUGUCUGUUCCUAAUGGCACUACAAAAUUUUUCUACAGGUGAAUGUUUUGGAAUGCUACUUAUCUUCAGUUUAAGCUCACCACUACAUCUGGGGCUAGAAGGAGCUUUGUCUCAGGCCAAGAUGGCAGGGGAAGUACUUUAUGGCUGUGGUGGAUUGAUUGGUCUGUCAAGCCACCUGCACUAUACAGAAUUGCUUAUGAUUAUGGGCUAAACUUAAUGAUCCAGAAAGUGGAGGAGAUGUACAUGAGAAGGAUGGCGCAAAAGGCGGCAAGACACAAUGAUCUAUGGAUACUUUAAACUUACACAUCAAACUGAUCUCAAUGUCCAUUCAGAAACUGGAGAAAUUUGGGACUGUUUCCAGAUUUCACAAUUGGCUUCUGUCUCAUCACAAGCCAGGCUGAGCCCUCAGACCAAAACACUUUCAGACUUUGAGAUACCAGCUCAAACCCUCCAGCCUGUGGUUGUCUCUGGGCAAAAUAGGAACAUUCAUUAAAUACCGAGUGCCCCACUUCCAGCCUGGGAUAUACAUCCAAGCUUCCCAUUGAAGUGUCGGUUCCCACAGUAGGACAGAGCCCUUCGGGGAGGUGUCAGUAGUCAGUAGCCAGUUGUCAGGAUAAUUCAUUGCCUCAGGGGGAAAUCUGAGUUGAGAAGCAGCAGUCUUCUCCUGUUUGGAGGAGGUCAGCCACAUCAAAGCGGAGAUGUGCGGCCUCUGAGCAGGGAGGAGUGGUCGCUGCUCUUGAAGUUGCCAGUUUUCCUUCUUCUAUACAGGCUAGGAGUGGCAGGGGACAUGUUUGAAGAUCUGGGGAAAAUCUGGGAUCAUUCAAGCUGGAGCUGAGGGACAAAGGAGAAGGACUCCCAUUCAGGGAAGUUUGAUGGUUAGAUUUGGCUCAAAUGGGCUGGAAACCAGAGGGAAGGAACACGCUGGGGCAUUUCAGUUUGACAUUGCUUUUGCACUAAUACAGUAGAAUUUACUUCAACUUCUCAUUUAGAUAAGAAAGAGCAGAUCCAUCCUGCUGAGAGCAAAAGGUGUUCCAGG
RNAcentral lists this long non-coding RNA (1064 nucleotides) under Anser brachyrhynchus (Pink-footed goose). RNAcentral describes it as "lncRNA (ENSABRG00000010160.1)". Lineage: Eukaryota; Metazoa; Chordata; Aves; Anseriformes; Anatidae. The record is from RNAcentral.